GUGAACGCUGGCGGCGUGCUUAACACAUGCAAGUCGAACGGAAAGGCCCUGCUUGCAGGGUACUCGAGUGGCGAACGGGUGAGUAACACGUGGGUGAUCUGCCCUGCACUUCGGGAUAAGCCUGGGAAACUGGGUCUAAUACCGGAUAGGAGCCAUUUUUAGUGUGAUGGUUGGAAAGUUUUUUCGGUGUAGGAUGAGCUCGCGGCCUAUCAGCUUGUUGGUGGGGUAAUGGCCUACCAAGGCGGCGACGGGUAGCCGGCCUGAGAGGGUGGACGGCCACAUUGGGACUGAGAUACGGCCCAGACUCCUACGGGAGGCAGCAGUGGGGAAUAUUGCACAAUGGGCGCAAGCCUGAUGCAGCGACGCCGCGUGGGGGAUGACGGCCUUCGGGUUGUAAACUCCUUUCGCUAGGGACGAAGCUUUUUGUGACGGUACCUAGAUAAGAAGCACCGGCUAACUACGUGCCAGCAGCCGCGGUAAUACGUAGGGUGCGAGCGUUGUCCGGAAUUACUGGGCGUAAAGGGCUCGUAGGUGGUUUGUCGCGUCGUCUGUGAAAUUCCGGGGCUUAACUCCGGGCGUGCAGGCGAUACGGGCAUAACUUGAGUACUGUAGGGGUAACUGGAAUUCCUGGUGUAGCGGUGAAAUGCGCAGAUAUCAGGAGGAACACCGAUGGCGAAGGCAGGUUACUGGGCAGUUACUGACGCUGAGGAGCGAAAGCAUGGGUAGCGAACAGGAUUAGAUACCCUGGUAGUCCAUGCCGUAAACGGUGGGCGCUAGGUGUGAGGGUCUUUUCACGACUUUCGUGCCGUAGCUAACGCAUUAAGCGCCCCGCCUGGGGAGUACGACCGCAAGGUUGAAACUCAAAGGAAUUGACGGGGACCCGCACAAGCGGUGGAGCAUGUGGUUUAAUUCGAAGCAACGCGAAGAACCUUACCAAAUCUUGACAUCCUUUGACAACUCUAGAGAUAGAGCCUUCCCCUUCGGGGGACAAAGUGACAGGUGGUGCAUGGUUGUCGUCAGCUCGUGUCGUGAGAUGUUGGGUUAAGUCCCGCAACGAGCGCAACCCUUAAGCUUAGUUGCCAUCAUUAAGUUGGGCACUCUAAGUUGACUGCCGGUGACAAACCGGAGGAAGGUGGGGAUGACGUCAAAUCAUCAUGCCCCUUAUGAUUUGGGCUACACACGUGCUACAAUGGACAAUACAAAGGGCAGCGAAACCGCGAGGUCAAGCAAAUCCCAUAAAGUUGUUCUCAGUUCGGAUUGUAGUCUGCAACUCGACUACAUGAAGCUGGAAUCGCUAGUAAUCGUAGAUCAGCAUGCUACGGUGAAUGCGUUCCCGGGUCU
RNAcentral lists this ribosomal RNA (1341 nucleotides) under uncultured bacterium. RNAcentral describes it as "partial 16S ribosomal RNA". It matches the Rfam family "Bacterial small subunit ribosomal RNA", at positions 29 to 1381 of the family's 1533-position model. The record is from RNAcentral.